GACGAACGCUGGCGGCGUGCUUAACACAUGCAAGUCGAACGGAAAGACCCUGCGUUUGUUCCUUGCUCGAGUGCCGAACGCGUGUGUGACACGUGAGUAAACUGCCCCUAUCUUUGGGAUAUCUUCAGGAAACUCGGGCUCAUAUCGGAUAGAAUCUCCUGCUGCAUGGUGGGGGUUGGUAAGAUUCGGCGGUUGGGGAUGGACUAGCGGGUUAUGCGCUUGUUGGUGGGGUAGUGGCUGACGAAGGCUUUGAAGGGUAGCCGGCCUGGGAGGGUUACCGGCCACAUGGGGACUGAGAGAGGGCCCAGUCGCCUACGUGAGGCAGCGGGGGGGAAUAUGGCACAAUGGGGGGAAGCGAGAGGCAGCAACGUCGGGUGCGGGAUGACGGCCUACGGGGGGUAAACAGCUGUGGCCUGAGACGAAGCGGGAGUGACGGUAAUGGGUAAAGAAGCACCGGCUAACUACGUG
RNAcentral lists this ribosomal RNA (468 nucleotides) under uncultured bacterium. Its description in RNAcentral is "partial 16S ribosomal RNA". It matches the Rfam family "Bacterial small subunit ribosomal RNA", at positions 28 to 507 of the family's 1533-position model. The record is from RNAcentral.